This 478-nucleotide ribosomal RNA is filed under the name uncultured bacterium. Its description in RNAcentral is "partial 16S ribosomal RNA". It matches the Rfam family "Bacterial small subunit ribosomal RNA", at positions 28 to 523 of the family's 1533-position model. The record is from RNAcentral.
GACGAACGCUGGCGGCGUGCUUAACACAUGCAAGUCGAACGGUAAGGCCCUUCGGGGUACACGAGUGGCGAACGGGUGAGUAACACGUGGGUGAUCUGCCCUGCACUUCGGGAUAAGCCUGGGAAACUGGGUCUAAUACCGGAUAGGACCACUGCCUGCAUGGGUGGUGGUGGAAGGCUUUUGCGGUGUGGGAUGGGCCCGCGGCCUAUCAGCUUGUUGGUGGGGUGAUGGCCGACCAAGGCGACGACGGGUAGCCGGCCUGAGAGGGUGACCGGCCACACUGGGACUGAGAUACGGCCCAGACUCCUACGGGAGGCAGCAGUGGGGAAUAUUGCACAAUGGGCGCAAGCCUGAUGCAACGACGCCGCGGGAGGGAUGACGGCCUUCGGGUUGUAAACCUCUUUCAGCACCGACGAAGCGCAAGUGACGGUAGGUGCAGAAGAAGGACCGGCCAACUACGUGCCAGCCGCCGCAGUAA